Molecule: ribosomal RNA, 64 nt
Filed under: Ficus carica (common fig)
Lineage: Eukaryota; Viridiplantae; Streptophyta; Magnoliopsida; Rosales; Moraceae
Description: partial 18S ribosomal RNA
Source: RNAcentral
AGUUUUCCGUAGGUGACCUGCGGAGGAUCAUUGUCGAACCUGCCCAGCAGAGAGACCCGCGAAC